This 1291-nucleotide long non-coding RNA is filed under the name Trifolium pratense (red clover). Its description in RNAcentral is "long non-coding RNA (TPRA_LNC006256)". Lineage: Eukaryota; Viridiplantae; Streptophyta; Magnoliopsida; Fabales; Fabaceae. The record is from RNAcentral.
UGCUUAUGUUCCUAAAUAAUUGAUUGGAAAAGGGUAAAAUGACAUUGUUUGUUUGUUUUCCUAAUUACUUGCCACCGUUUUGAGUUUUAUCUUCAUCGCCCAUUGUAUAUAUCUUCCAUAAGUGCUAAAUUGCUAUCGGUGGUAAGAAAGAUCUAUUUUUUAGUUUUGUUGAUACAAUAAGAAAGAUCUAUUUUCUCUCUUCUACCUCAAGUUCUAUGAUUUUUCAAUUUACAAAUCGUUCUGGAAACAAUUUUUAUAGCACAUUUUAUCAAUGUAUUAUUUUGUACAAUUAUAUGAAACUAUUUUAUAAGAUUUUUUUGUGGUAUAUAAGAAUAAUUUUGUUACUACAUUUAUUGUUAAUUAAAAAACAAAAAUACAAAAAAUAAAUAAAUAAAAACAUUUACCGUAUUAUGUGAAGAUCAAGUGUGCACCAAACAUAAGAUAUGAUAAAAUAAUGUUAUCCUCUUUUUUUUAUCACCAAACACAUGACAUGAUAUGUGUUUAUCAUGUCACUAUCCUAACAUAUCCUUAUCGUAUCUUAUCUUUAUUCUAUCCUGCGCAUCAAACGGGCCGUUAAUGUAUAAAAUCAAAAAUAUUUUAUACUCCUCGUGUAGCAUAUUGAAGAUAAUUAAAUAAAAUAAGCCAAUAUUUUAAGUUACCAUAUGUACUUACUAUUAGGGCUCGUUUGGUGCACAUUGUUGGAACAAAAUUGAUUUAAAUUGUUCCCCCUAAGCUUAUUAAAGUUUUAAUGAUAACAAAAUAUUAAAUGUACAAUUGGAGAUACUAAAAUUUAUUUUAAGUGUGCAGAACUAACUCUGAGAUAAGUUCUGAAGAAAGGUCAGAAGAUGAACGCUCAGAGUUUCAUAAUGAUUCAGAGGAUAUCAACGUCAGAAGUUAUGUCUAUCAGAGGUUGAGAACCUCAGGACUUGAUAACACAGAAGUUAGCAAAACUCUAAAUUGAUCUUGGUUUCUGUGAAGAUUGGUUCAUGAAGGUCAACACUUUUACCAAUGAAGAAAACGACCUCUCAAGAAGAUCAGAACAACAUCUUACAUUUUUUCCUAGUCUCUAGGAGAGAACGUGACUUGUCUGGUCUCUUAGCUUAAAAUGGAAACUCCUCUCAGUGAUAUACAUACUAGAUGAAGUGGAUUGCAUACAUACAACACACGCACGUACAAGCUAUCAUCUUAUAAUCCAAGACUACUCUCGUUUUGUGAGAGGAACUAGUAUAAAUAUGAUGUGUGUUUUUCUCUCUCUCUUGAUUUCCUUUGUGUGUUUGAUUAAUUUAUCCGC